GACGAACGUUGGCGGCGUGCUUAAUACAUGCAAGUCAACUGAAGCAGUGGUAGCAAUAUCGCUGUGGAGGUGGCGCACGGGUGAGUAACACGUAGGUAAUCUGCCUUCAGGUCUGGCAUAACUCCGGGAAACCGGGGCUAAUAGCAGAUGAUGCAGCGGCUCGACAUCGAGACAGUUGUUAAAGCUAUGGCGCCUGAAGAUGAGCCUGCGUCUGAUUAGCUAGUUGGCGGGGUAACGGCCCACCAAGGCAACGAUCAGUAGCUGGUCUGAGAGGAUGAUCAGCCACACUGGAACUGAGACACGGUCCAGACUCCUACGGGAGGCAGCAGUAAGGAAAAUUGCUCAAUGGGAGAAAUCCUGAAGCAGCAACGCCGAGUGAGGGACGAAGGGCUUUUGCUUGUAAACCUCUGUAGUGAGAGAAAAAAAUCCCAAUCUUUGGGACAUGAUGGUAUCUCAAAAGUAAGCCCCGGCUAACUACGUG
Molecule: ribosomal RNA, 481 nt
Filed under: uncultured bacterium
Lineage: Bacteria
Description: partial 16S ribosomal RNA
Rfam family: Bacterial small subunit ribosomal RNA
Source: RNAcentral